Molecule: ribosomal RNA, 484 nt
Filed under: uncultured bacterium
Lineage: Bacteria
Description: partial 16S ribosomal RNA
Rfam family: Bacterial small subunit ribosomal RNA
Source: RNAcentral
AUUGAACGCUGGCGGCAGGCCUAACACAUGCAAGUCGAGCGGAUGAAGGGAGCUUGCUCCUGGAUUCAGCGGCGGACGGGUGAGUAAUGCCUAGGAAUCUGCCUGGUAGUGGGGGAUAACGUCCGGAAACGGGCGCUAAUACCGCAUACGUCCUGAGGGAGAAAGUGAGGGAUCUUCGGACCUCACGCCAUCAGAUGAGCCUAGGUCGGAUUAGCUAGUUGGUGGGGUAAAGGCCUACCAAGGCGACGAUCCGUAACUGGUCUGAGAGGAUGAUCAGUCACACUGGAACUGAGACACGGUCCAGACUCCUACGGGAGGCAGCAGUGGGGAAUAUUGGACAAUGGGCGAAAGCCUGAUCCAGCCAUGCCGCGUGUGUGAAGAAGGUCUUCGGAUUGUAAAGCACUUUAAGUUGGGAGGAAGGGCAGUAAGUUAAUACCUUGCUGUUUUGACGUUACCAACAGAAUAAGCACCGGCUAACUUCGUG